Molecule: ribosomal RNA, 269 nt
Filed under: uncultured archaeon
Lineage: Archaea
Description: partial 16S ribosomal RNA
Rfam family: Archaeal small subunit ribosomal RNA
Source: RNAcentral
CAGCACCUCAAGUGGUCAGGAUGAUUAUUGGGCCUAAAGCAUCCGUAGCCUGCUUUGUUAGUUUUCGGUUAAAUCCAUAUGCUCAACGUAUGGGCUGCCGGGAAUACUACAAAGCUAGGGAGUGGGAGAGGUAGACGGUACUCGGUAGGAAGGGGUAAAAUCCUUGAUCUAUUGAUGACCACCUGUGGCGAAGGCGGUCUACCAGAACACGUCCGACGGUGAGGGAUGAAAGCUGGGGGAGCAAACCGGAUUAGAUACCCGAGUAGUCC